UCCUUGCACUUGCCGCUUGGAACAUGGCGGAUACACAUGUCCAUAGUUGGAAGUACUUUGGUUAAAGCUAACCUUAUCUGAAUCUGAUUGAACCAACACAAAGGUUAGAGACUUAGAGUGAUCACAACAGAAUUUAAUAAUACUUUGGCGCAGGUUGUUUAAUAUAUUUUGUAUUACCACUAUGGCCAACAGUUUUGAACAUAUUAUUAUUAUAUAGUAACACAGGAUGAAAUCAAAGCUUGAGGUUCCUGUUUCAAAGCACACAGACAUAAAAAAAAACACUAUUAUAUUGUUUUGAUUUAAUGAUUUUGACACUCUCCUUAUCUGAACUACCUCUAUCUAUCUUCUUCUUCUUAUGUUAUAUAUAAAGCAUUAACCUCACUGAGAAUUUAACAAGAUAUAAAGUAGAGCAACAUCAAAGUUGAAAAACCAAACAUCAUCAAUUCCUUUUAAUUUGAAGAAGUUGCUUUGAGUUAUGUCUGGCCUUGUGGACAGGUGGACAAGUGAGCUGGCCAAGCUUCAGCAAAAGGGUGACACUGAAAAUGACACUAAAAGCAACAAUUCCAGUCACCAACAACAAGUGUUCCAAGAAAAGGAGAAUAAGAGUUCAAGUGAUCAUGGCAAAUUCAUUCAUGUUAACAAGCCUAGGUUCAUGUUUUCUGAGGCUUCACUUUCCAUGUUUGUUGAAUGCUUUAGCCCUUGAACACUACUGAACAUCUAUCAUCUUAACUUGUUUUUGUAUGAGAAUAUAAUAUCUGUAUUUAUUUCCAAUAAAGGUCCUGUGUUAGUUCAUAGUUAUGUAUAUAUUAAUGAUAAUAAUAAUAUAUUAGCUUUUGGUGUUUCUUGCAUGUUAUGUUCUUAUUAUAAUUGCCAAGUUUAAUUUUCCCAAUUGCAUAGCAAGUUGCUAACUGAUAAUUACUUAAGAGAAUUGGCAUGACUUGCCACUAUGUUGAAAGCUUCAAAGGUGUUCACUAUCAAAGACUUUUUUUUUUCUCAACCAGUACAAAUUUUCAUAGAAGGUUACAUACACUGUACUUGGUGCACCUAUUGAAUGUAAUUUAGUACUUUCAAGUUUCAAUAAUAAAAAAAGUAGACUUAAUUUGAAGAAGGGUGUAAAACUGGCUGAAGGUGCACACAAUACAGUAUUUGAACCAUUGAUGAAAUUAAAAGAUUCACAAUGAUGGAUUAUUAUUAAUUAAUUAGUUUUAAUCUUAUUGAAUUAUCUUUUUAAC
Molecule: long non-coding RNA, 1232 nt
Filed under: Arachis ipaensis
Lineage: Eukaryota; Viridiplantae; Streptophyta; Magnoliopsida; Fabales; Fabaceae
Description: long non-coding RNA (AIPA_LNC000534)
Source: RNAcentral